AUACUGUGGUGAAUACGUUCCCGGGCCUUGUACACACCGCCCGUCACACCAUGAGAGUUGAGAAUACCCGAAGCCCAUGUCAAAGUGGUCGAAGGUAGGCUUGAUGAUUGGGGUGAAGUCGUAACAAGGUAAC
This 133-nucleotide ribosomal RNA is filed under the name uncultured bacterium. RNAcentral's name for it is "partial 16S ribosomal RNA". It matches the Rfam family "Bacterial small subunit ribosomal RNA", at positions 1354 to 1500 of the family's 1533-position model. The record is from RNAcentral.